Liolophura sinensis is the source of this 530-nucleotide long non-coding RNA. RefSeq lists it as uncharacterized. Lineage: Eukaryota; Metazoa; Mollusca; Polyplacophora; Chitonida; Chitonidae. The transcript has 2 exons. The record is from RefSeq and is a predicted model, not a curated record.
UCACCACGUGGCAGAAGACCUUAGUGACAACGCACACAUAUAUGUAUACCGCCCCAUCUGCAGGCGGCUGAUAGUACAACAAUCUUACCAAACACACAUCAACUGAAAACCCGGCAAUGGCGGAGAAGACAAGCGAUAAAACAGAGGAGUACGAGGAGUACGAUAUGGAGCCUGAGAAGUACGUACACUCGGGACAUAGCGGGAAAGGCCGGACGAAAAAGGAGGCAAGUCAGCAUACAAACCAUCCCGACCCCUGCGGUCACGUGAGGAAAACCACCCAGAAACUCAUCAAUAACAGCCAUAACCAGCGUAAGGUGCCUGAGUCCAAAUAAUAGGAGCGAACCUGGCGACUCCUGGAAAGUAUUUGCCCAGUGAAGUAAAGGCCUAGAGGACUGCAUGAACAAUAGUGACAGACUAGCCAGGACUGAAGGACUGAAAUGAUGAACCAUAAAUAAACCGACGUCGUUAUCUGAUAUAAGUUUGUAUUUGUUAAGAAUAAAUAAAUGAAGAUCGUUGUUCAAACUGUUAUA